Molecule: long non-coding RNA, 260 nt
Organism: Lepidothrix coronata (blue-crowned manakin)
Lineage: Eukaryota; Metazoa; Chordata; Aves; Passeriformes; Pipridae
Exons: 3
Source: RefSeq, a predicted model, not a curated record
UGUCAGCACUUGUGGCCUAAGGCUUGAGCUCCUUUAGCUCCUUGUGCUGAGCUGCUGAUGGGAAACGAGAGGCCUCUGCGAGCAGAUUCAUGGUGUUUCCUGUAGAACAGUGAGGGGGAAGGUGUUGUCAAGUGGGAAGAGGAGUACUGUUUGUGUGUGGCCUCCUAUGUGGCCUUGGCGCCUUUGAGGGCCUUGAAGGAGAAAAGAGCUUUGUUAAAGUGAGAAGGGAAAUAGUGUGUUGGCUGUUCUUUCUGCAGGGA